UCUACUCGGAUCCUGCGCGUAUAGCCUUAGGACUUNAAGUUGAUCAUGGACUCACGACGCNUGAGACGCUGUUAGUGAUCAAGCCUAACACAUGCAAGUCGAACGGCAGCACAGUGAGAGCUUGCUCUCUGGGUGUGCGAGUGGCGGACGGGUGAAGGAAAUACAUCGGAAUCUACUCUGUCGUGGGGGAUAACGUAGUGGAACACUAUACAGCUAAUACCUGCAUACUGACCUACUGGGUGAAAGCAGUGGUGACCUUCAGGGCCUUGCGCGAUUGAAUGANAGCCUGAUGUCUGGAUUAGACUAGUUGGCGGGGUAAAGUGCCCAACCAANGGCGACGAUCCNGUAGCUUGGUCUGAGAGGAUGAUCAGCCAACCAACUGNGAACUUGAAGGACACGGGUACCAAGAACUCCCUACCAGUGGGAUAGNAGGCAUGGCACGGUUGNGGGGGAAAAUUAUUUUGGNGGAUUAAAAUUGGGGGCCUGCCAAAUGGCCACCUUUGGAANUUCCACCAAAGAGCACAAACUUAACUCCUGGCCAUNNUUUNGCGGCUUGGAAAACAGGGAACAAUCGUUGGCCCACUUUUUACCACUGUGAGGAGACUUUUGGGUUUCAAAAAGGGCCCCCNCCAUUUUCAUUNUGGGUUAUUANGCGGCGGGCANACACAACUGUGAAAAAUUUCCCCAACUAGGNACUUUUGGGUGNGCACUUUAAAAUUAAUCACCCCGCCCGGAGGGAUUAUUUGGGGGGGGGAAGAUUUGGCAACCCAGUGGGAGUAAUCCCUCCCNGAAAAUAACNUGNGCAGACAAUUAUUCUNAAGGGCACACACACCACGAGGGGUCCUUANAGNGCNACCAUUUUCACUGGUGUUGGACCCCGAAAAGGCACANGUCCACCAGNGA
RNAcentral lists this ribosomal RNA (903 nucleotides) under uncultured bacterium. RNAcentral's name for it is "partial 16S ribosomal RNA". The stretch from base 84 to 425 matches the Rfam family "Bacterial small subunit ribosomal RNA", at positions 47 to 358 of the family's 1533-position model. The record is from RNAcentral.